ACUCCCCAACUUCCUCCUCUUCUAAUCUUCUCCCUCUCCUCCCCUCCCCCCCCUCCCUCUCUCUCUAGAUGGCCCUCUUUGUAGUCUUCCACAGCUUUCUUGAACUGCAUCCAUCCUUGUAAGGUAGGGGCUUCGAAUUGCAGUUCAAUAAAGCUGUGGGAAAUUACAGAGAGAGACCAAAGAAGCUGAAUUAUAUAUUAUUCUGAAGUUAUGAAGUUUAUCACUUCCACUGAUCUCUUUAGAGGUAGUCUGUAACAUGCUUACCCCCCUCUCCCUCGACCCUUUUCCUUCAGAUUCAUGGUAGGGAGAAUUCAAAGCAGUUGCAGCAAUGAAAUAAUUAUCAGAUCUCGUUUCAUCUUUUGUGCCACCAGUCCUUGGGUGGGGUAUGCGUGCAGUUGUGGAUGUUUUGUCUUGCUAGAUGGAUGGGAGCAUCACUUUCAUCAUGAAAGAAAAGAUGCCCUCAUGAUGAAACUUCAAAUCAAAUCUUUUUUCCUUGUUCCAAAUUCUAAUUAUGCUUCUUAUUUCUCAUGCUUCUUGUGCAGUUGAUGGGAAUUUAUUCAUGGAUUUCUCUUUUGGUAGAGUUUGUCUUCCAUCAGUACUAGCGAGUUAUAAUGCUCGGACUAUCCGAUGGUUUUAACCAUAUGAUGAAAGCUAUCAAAGAGCAGUCUUGUGGAAUAUGGCACAUCCAUCUCUCUCUCAACAAUGAAGCCAGAUGAAUCAUUUCUCCACUCCCUUGUUUCUGAUUCAGGAGAAGUACCUAUUGGCAUCCCCAAGCACAAAGAAAAAAAAAAAGCUCUACAGUUGUGUUUUGUAACCAAUGUAUUGAAGUCAAAAUUUUGUGAAGUCUAAAUGCUACAAUGUGUAACAUGACCUAAAGGUAUUCAAAAUUUCACAAGGUUGAGCCCCAUGUAUUGAGACAUUGUUUGGUGACUCAAAGUGUAUGGAAGGUAGCUAAACAAGUUGAAAUUACACAAUGGUUAAGUUGAAGUA
Long non-coding RNA from Phoenix dactylifera (date palm), 990 nucleotides. RefSeq lists it as uncharacterized. Lineage: Eukaryota; Viridiplantae; Streptophyta; Magnoliopsida; Arecales; Arecaceae. The record is from RefSeq and is a predicted model, not a curated record.